RNAcentral lists this ribosomal RNA (245 nucleotides) under uncultured bacterium. Its description in RNAcentral is "partial 16S ribosomal RNA". It matches the Rfam family "Bacterial small subunit ribosomal RNA", at positions 524 to 768 of the family's 1533-position model. The record is from RNAcentral.
UACGUAGGCAGCGAGCGUUGUUCGGAGCUACUGGGCGUAAAGAGUGUGUAGGCGGUUCUCUAAGUUUGGUGUGAAAUCUCCCGGCUUAACUGGGAGGGUGCGCCGAAAACUGGAGGGCUUGAGUGUGGGAGAGGAGAGCGGAAUUCCUGGUGUAGCGGUGAAAUGCGUAGAUAUCAGGAGGAACACCUGCGGUGCAGACGGCUCUCUGGACCAUUACUGACGCUGAGACACGAAAGCGUGGGGAG